AAGUCGUAACAAGGUUUCCGUAGGUGAACCUGCGGAAGGAUCAUUAACACAUACAUGUACUCAACCCACAUGUAUUUACCCCCCUUUUGCAAACGUGUUUUUCUCCAGUCUUCCCGGGCGUGUGCGAACAACACCGUUGUUUGUGUUACGUCUGUGGUUUUAACUUUUAAUAUUUAACCCCUUGAACUUUUUUGGACUGACAUCUGAGUGCUUAAAAACCACUCUGCCAUUAUAUUUAACGCUGAACAACUCUUAGCAACGGAUAUCUUGGCUCUC
This 276-nucleotide unclassified non-coding RNA is filed under the name fungal sp. Its description in RNAcentral is "partial internal transcribed spacer region". The stretch from base 1 to 46 matches the Rfam family "Eukaryotic small subunit ribosomal RNA", at positions 1786 to 1831 of the family's 1831-position model. The record is from RNAcentral. Lineage: Eukaryota; Fungi.